This 440-nucleotide ribosomal RNA is filed under the name uncultured bacterium. RNAcentral's name for it is "partial 16S ribosomal RNA". It matches the Rfam family "Bacterial small subunit ribosomal RNA", at positions 338 to 795 of the family's 1533-position model. The record is from RNAcentral.
CCUACGGGGUGCUGCAGUGGGGGAUAUUGCACAAUGGGGGAAACCCUGAUGCAGCGACGCCGCGUGAGUGAAGAAGUAUUUCGGUAUGUAAAGCUCUAUCAGCAGGGGAGAAAAUGACAGUACCUGAGCAAGAAGCCCCGGCUAACUACGUGCCAGCAGCCGCGGUAAUACGUAGGGGGCAAGCGUUAUCCGGAUUUAAUGGGUGUAAAGGGGGCGUAGACGGGUAUGUAAGUCUGGAGGGAAAGCCGGGGGCCCAACCCCGGGACUGCUUUGGAAACUGUGUAACUGGAGUGCAGGAGGGGCAGGCGGAAUUCCUGGUGUAGCGGUGAAAUGCGUAGAUAUCAGGAGGAACACCGGCGGCGAAGGCGGCCUGCUGGACUGAAACUGACGUUGAGGCUCGAAAGCGUGGGGAGCAAACAGGAUUAGAUACCCUAGUAGUC